UGGGGAAUAUUGCACAAUGGGCGAAAGCCUGAUGCAGCGACGCCGCGUGAGGGAUGACGGCCUUCGGGUUGUAAACCUCUUUCAGCAGGGACGAAGCGCAAGUGACGGUACCUGCAGAAGAAGCACCGGCUAACUACGUGCCAGCAGCCGCGGUAAUACGUAGGGUGCAAGCGUUGUCCGGAAUUACUGGGCGUAAAGAGUUCGUAGGCGGUUUGUCGCGUCGUUUGUGAAAACCAGCAGCUCAACUGCUGGCUUGCAGGCGAUACGGGCAGACUUGAGUACUGCAGGGGAGACUGGAAUUCCCGGUGUAGCGGUGAAAUGCGCAGAUAUCAGGAGGAACACCGGUGGCGAAGGCGGGUCUCUGGGCAGUAACUGACGCUGAGGAACGAAAGCGUGGGUAGCGAACAGG
RNAcentral lists this ribosomal RNA (409 nucleotides) under bacterium. RNAcentral describes it as "partial 16S ribosomal RNA". It matches the Rfam family "Bacterial small subunit ribosomal RNA", at positions 355 to 776 of the family's 1533-position model. The record is from RNAcentral.